CAGUAGCCGCGGGAAUACAGAGGAUGCAAGCGUUAUCCGGAAUGAUUGGGCGUAAAGCGUGCGCAGGCGGUUAUGUGAGACGGGUGUGAAAUCCCCGGGCUUAACCUGGGAACUGCGCUUGUGACUGCACAGCUAGAGUAUGGCAGAGGGGGGUGGAAUUCCACGUGUAGCGGUGAAAUGCGUAGAGAUGUGGAGGAACACCGAUGGCGAAGGCAGCCCCCUGGGCCAAUACUGAUGCUCAUGCACGAAAGCGUGGGGAGCAAACAGGAUUAGAUACCCCCGUAGUCCCUGUCUCUUAUAC
RNAcentral lists this ribosomal RNA (301 nucleotides) under uncultured bacterium. RNAcentral describes it as "partial 16S ribosomal RNA". It matches the Rfam family "Bacterial small subunit ribosomal RNA", at positions 509 to 807 of the family's 1533-position model. The record is from RNAcentral.